RNAcentral lists this ribosomal RNA (468 nucleotides) under uncultured bacterium. RNAcentral's name for it is "partial 16S ribosomal RNA". It matches the Rfam family "Bacterial small subunit ribosomal RNA", at positions 28 to 507 of the family's 1533-position model. The record is from RNAcentral.
GACGAACGCUGGCGGCGUGCUUAACACAUGCAAGUCGAACGGAAAGGCCCUGCUUUUGUUGGGUGCUCGAGUGGCGAACGGGUGAGUAACACGUGAGUAACCUCCCCUUGACUUUGUGAUAACUUCAGGAAACUGCGGCUAAUACCCGAUAUGAUCUCCUGCUGCGUGUUGUGGGUUGGAAAGUGUCGGCGGUUGGGGAUGGACUCGCGGCUUAUCAGCUUGUUGGUGGGGUAGUGGCUUACCAAGGCUUUGACGGGUAGCCGGCCUGAGAGGGUGACCGGCCACAUUGGGACUGAGAGACGGCCCAGAAUCCUACGGGAGGCAGCAGUGGGGAAUAUUGCACAAUGGGCGGAAGCCUGAUGCAGCAACGCCGCGUGCGGGAUGACGGCCUUCGGGUUGUAAACCGAUUUCGAAUGUGACGAAGAGUGAGUGACGGUAAUGGGUAAAGAAGCAACGGCUAACUACGUG